Molecule: ribosomal RNA, 652 nt
Filed under: Cucurbita environmental sample
Lineage: Eukaryota; Viridiplantae; Streptophyta; Magnoliopsida; Cucurbitales
Description: eukaryotic LSU rRNA
Rfam family: 5.8S ribosomal RNA (bases 205-360)
Source: RNAcentral
AAGGAUCAUUGUCGAUGCCUAAACAUCAAACGACCCGUGAACGUGUUUUCAAACCUUUUGUGUCGGGGGGAGCAUUCGUGCCCCCUUUGAUGCCUAAACCAAAACCGGCGCAAGUCGCGCCAAGGAGCUCAAACGAAUAAGCUUGCCCCUUGCCCCGGUCUCGGUGUGCGGGGGGCAAAGCAUUCUUGUCGUAUUAUUCACAACGACUCUCGGCAACGGAUAUCUCGGCUCUCGCAUCGAUGAAGAACGUAGCGAAAUGCGAUACUUGGUGUGAAUUGCAGGAUCCCGCGAACCACCGAGUCUUUGAACGCAAGUUGCGCCCGGAGCCUUCUGGCCGAGGGCACGUCUGCCUGGGCGUCACGCAUCGCUGCCCCCCACAUACAACACCCACUUAGGUCUGUUGCAUUGGCGGGGGCACAUGUUGGCCUCCCGUGCGCACUGUCGCACGGAUGGCUUAAAAUUGAGUCCUCGGCAUCUGUUGUCGUGACACUACGGUGGUUGAUUCAACCUCGGUACCGUGUCUCGAUCUCAGCUUGCGUGCCUCCUCUUUGUGAGUGAGGGAGGAAUCUUAUGUUGACCCUUUGAUCAUUGUCCCCAAAGAUGAUGCUCUCGACGCGACCCCAGGUCAGGCGGGACUACCCGCUGAGUUUAA